UACGAAGGGGGCUAGCGUUGCUCGGAAUUACUGGGCGUAAAGGGAGCGUAGGCGGACAUUUAAGUCAGGGGUGAAAUCCCAGAGCUCAACUCUGGAACUGCCUUUGAUACUGGGUGUCUUGAGUGUGAUAGAGGUAUGUGGAACUCCGAGUGUAGAGGUGAAAUUCGUAGAUAUUCGGAGGAACACCAGUGGCGAAGGCGACAUACUGGAUCAUUACUGACGCUGAGGCUCGAAAGCGUGGGGAGCAAACAGG
Molecule: ribosomal RNA, 253 nt
Filed under: uncultured bacterium
Lineage: Bacteria
Description: partial 16S ribosomal RNA
Rfam family: Bacterial small subunit ribosomal RNA
Source: RNAcentral